UACGUAGGGUGCGAGCGUUAAUCGGAAUUACUGGGCGUAAAGCGUGCGUAGGCGGCGCGUUAAGACAGGUGUGAAAGCCCCGAGCUUAACUUGGGAAUUGCGCUUGUGACUGGCGUGCUGGAGUGUGGCAGAGGGAGGUGGAAUUCCACGUGUAGCAGUGAAAUGCGUAGAGAUGUGGAGGAACACCGAUGGCGAAGGCAGCCUCCUGGGCCAGCACUGACGCUCAUGCACGAAAGCGUGGGGAGCAAACAGG
This 253-nucleotide ribosomal RNA is filed under the name uncultured bacterium. RNAcentral's name for it is "partial 16S ribosomal RNA". It matches the Rfam family "Bacterial small subunit ribosomal RNA", at positions 524 to 776 of the family's 1533-position model. The record is from RNAcentral.